UUACGGCCGAAACUCUGCGAUAGCAGGUGCGGGGGACGAUUUAUGCAAGCAUUGGCGUUAAAGUUCGCACAGGGCUGCUUGCUAGGGGUGAAGCGCAUGGAUUUAAAUCUGCGCCGGGAGCUAUCCUUUUUCCCGAAUCCGACAACUAACUCCGCAGGCACUUAAAGGAGGAA
RNAcentral lists this small RNA (173 nucleotides) under Paenibacillus ihumii. RNAcentral's name for it is "ydaO/yuaA leader". It matches the Rfam family "c-di-AMP riboswitch aptamer (ydaO/yuaA leader)". From Rfam's summary of the family: This family represents a conserved RNA structure found upstream of the ydaO and yuaA genes in Bacillus subtilis and related genes in other bacteria. The ydaO/yuaA element is thought to act as a genetic "off" switch for the ydaO and yuaA genes in its native state. Lineage: Bacteria; Bacillati; Bacillota; Bacilli; Caryophanales; Paenibacillaceae. The record is from RNAcentral.